This 21230-nucleotide long non-coding RNA is filed under the name Vitis vinifera (wine grape). Its description in RNAcentral is "long non-coding RNA (VVIN_LNC000603)". Lineage: Eukaryota; Viridiplantae; Streptophyta; Magnoliopsida; Vitales; Vitaceae. The record is from RNAcentral.
UUAAGAACUCUACCAUAUUUUGAUUGCAUCUUAGAUCAUCUGUUUGACCAUCUUGUGCAUUUUAUUGGCUUUUGAAAAAGAGGAAGGCUAAGAUGAAACAGUUUAAGUUUCAUCUAAGGAUCUGAAAUGCAAGGAUCUACGCUCGGUAGAAUGGAAAGAUGAGAGAGUUCUUUGAUCCUUGAUUGUCUUAGAUGAUGGUGGGUGAAGAUGGCGAUAUCAUCCCAAAGCUUAUGCCAUAGAUCCUGAAACACUUUUAAUUUGUGCUCCAUUGGUAAGGAUGCAGUAAUAACAUCAUACUUCCUGGGGCUUCUUAUAGAUUGAGAGAAGGUUGCCCCAUUGUGGACCAAUAUUCAAGUUUUUAUUUCUUUUCUUGAUAUCAAGUUAUGCUACUAUUUUCUUUUCUUCUUUUAUGUUGGAAGCAUUUCAGGUUUGCUCUAAUGCCAAAGGCUGUUCAACUAAUGUCCAGACAAAUAUACUAGUUCAUUAAUAAUUCUAUGAUUGUAGGAACAUCUAGAUGUUUAUGUUGUCUUGAUGUUUGUUGUUAAUGCUGAUAUAAUAAUUUCUCAUCUCAAUCAUGUUAAGUGUUAGGCUUGUUUUGUUUUUGUUUUCUACUUUCCCCUCUCUCUUCUCUCUCCAUAGUUUGAUCAUUAGCAGCAUGCACAUCAGAUUUGUUAUUUUAUUUCCUAAUUUCUCACUUUACAUGUUUAUUCUUUCUUCUCUCCCUUUAAUUUAUUCUGUUCUGUAAAGAGAACAUAUAAUUGUUGUGGUAUUGUAGUGAGUGUGAGCAAUGCAUUGCUCUUCUUGAAGAUUCGGUUUGUGUUCUCCUUCGUUGUUUAGAGACGGUGGAUGCUGAUUCAGUGGUCCGAAAAGGUUAUUUUUCAUGGGAAGUAGAAGAGGGAGUAAAGUGUGCUUGUUUUCUUCGAAGGAUUUAUGAAGAGGUGUGUAAUUUUAUCAUGAACUUGGUAAUACUUUGAAAAUGUAUCUCCGUUGUUCGAGUUUCCAGAUGAUAUUUAGAGUAGUAAAAAUCACCUGCAUAAUUAGUCUCUUUUUUGGAAUUUAAUUUUUAUUCAAAGGUUAUAGAUAGAGUCUCCAAUUAGGGAGGGCUUCUGAUACAUGCAGGUGAGGUGACAGGCUCAAUUAGUGAGCUUCAGUGGUUUUGACAUCCUCAUUCCUUUGUUAAUGAUAAAAUUUCAACCCAAUUUUCCUCCUUAAUGAUCGGAAACUGAAUGGACAUUAGAAUAUGGCUCUUUUGCUUUCAUGAAUAAGAGUUUUAAAUAAAAUAAACUAUAGGAAUGGAGGAGUGAUACCAACAGUAAACAUUGUAUGUGUCAUAUUUGGAAAAAUUCUUCCAAGAUAUGCAAUUAUUAAAGUAUGCUUUGUGAUUUUGCAGAUGAGACAGCAAAAGGAUGUCUUUAGGCAGCACUGUUUUAAGUUUUUAUCCAAUUACAUAUGGAUUUAUUCAGGAUAUGGCCCCCUUAAAACAGGCAUCAGAAGGUGAUAUUCAGCAUCUCAUAUGCAACUUGAUUAUUGCUAUUAAUUACGUAUUAUGACUUUUAUGCUUAGGUCUUUCAUGUUCAACUUUGCAUAGACCUUAUGCAGUCACAAAUGAAUCAUUUGGUUAAUCAAUUUGCAGGGAAAUUGACGAUGCUCUGAGACCAGGAGUUUAUGCCUUAAUAGAUGCUUGCUCAGCAGAUGAUCUUCAAUAUCUUCAUACUGUGUUUGGAGGUAUGCAAUCUUGACUAUUCUAAGGUGUAAAAUCGGACUCUUGGUGACAUCUGCUUCAAGUCUCACUUUGCUUUGGAUGUUAUUAAUUCUUGUAGAGGGUCCUUGUCGAAGCACUCUAGCAACUUUGCAGCAUGAUUACAAGCUGAACUUCCAAUAUGAAGGAAAAGUUUGACCUAAGUUCUUUCCCCGUGCCAAGAAAUCGUAUUUAUUUGUUCCCAGCAAUUCUUAUAACAUAAUGAGGGAACCAAGUGGUAACAAUACCCUGGAGAUAGCAUAAUAUGAUCCUAAAAUAUCAUGGAAGCAUGAUGAUCAUGAUUCUCCAUGCCCCAAAUCCCCUGUGGAAGUUCGAAGUGGCAUGUCUGGGUUGUGACAUUGGAUGGUUCCACAGUUGUUCUGGGUUAUGAUAUUGACAUUUGCUCAGUUGUGGCCUUUGUAAAUGAGAUCCAGCUGAAGCUGUAGACAAGGAAUCAAGAAAAAAAGCGAUAUCUUUCUCAUUCUGCAACCAAUAUUCAGCUCAUUUUGUAAGUUCCAUGUGUGUAUAUAUAUGUAGACAAAGAAUACAUACUAUAUAUCUUGGUUUUUCAACAAUGCAAAUUUAAUUUUAUUGGUGUCUUUUACAUUUCAUGUAUUCACUGACAUCAUCAACAUUCUAGUAAUGCAACCCUGAUUUUUAUAGAUCGAAGUUUCCUUUUCUUAGAUGAUGUGUGCUCAAUUCUUGUUUAAUCCUUAUCUUCUGAUGGAUUGAUAAUUGUAAUUAUCGGUAACUUGUGUUAAUCAACCUUGGAUUUUUCUCGAAAAAGGUGCAGUCUUUUCUGGAUCCAGAUGAUUGAUUAGUUAGAGACCCUACCCAGAUUUUGGUUGCCCAAGAAAAAGCCAAAGGAGCAAGGGAGCCCCAUCUUUAUUUAAUGAAGGGCCACGUAUGCUAGGCAGGUGUUAACUUGUACCUACCAUCAGUCAUCAACCACAAAAAUCUAAACAAGAAACAUUGAAUGCAAGAGAUGUGAUAUGGACAUCAAUGAUUUAGGGUUUCAUGUGACUAUGAAAUGAUAGAAAAACUAGUAAAUUAGUGUGUUUAGUGGGAUUUUUAGCAGUGGGAUAAGCACUCACUGUGAGCUGAAAAAUAAAAAAUCUGGUAUCCACCAAUAGGUCUCAGUCACAUGUCAUCUAUCAUAUAAAUUUGGAUGGGCUCUAUUAUAUAUGUAGCAUUUUUUUAGGUAUCUUUAAUACAAUUUUAGUGGAAUUUCAGUCUCAUCAUUAUUAGACUGUCUUCCUGAGAGGAUAAACUUUGACCUAGUGUGAUGACUCAGUGGGUACAUUGUUGUUCAUUAUCCAUCAUUUUUAGCAUUUAUUUGAAAACUAGUUUUGAAAACAACCCUUUUUCUUUAGAAUAUAAACCAGUUUUGUAACUUCAAAAAAACAAGAGAAUAUGAAGAAUAGUUUAGGAAUUUUUAUAUUAUACAUAAGUGAAGAAUGUUUUUAUGAAGAAUAAGCUAGAAAAAUUGAGUUCUCAAAUAAAAUUCUGUUCCCAAAAAUAAUUAAAAAUUGUUUUUAAAAGUUGUCAAAAUUUGUUUAUUUUUUCUGUUGAGAAGUAUAUUUUGAUAAUUGUUAGCGUAUCACUGGAUGUCUUAAAGUUUCGGGAUUAAAAUUGAUAAUUUAACAUGAUAUAUAUCUUACUUAGCCCACAUGGAGCCAAGAUGCAAGUUAGCCUUCCCAUGAGUUGAUGUACCUAAAACUUGAUAUAAAUUAUAUUUAUGCUAGUCAUUUUCUAGAAGUAACAUUAAGAACAUAACUUGAUAUAUAUGACAUAUUACUGAAUUUAUACGAUAAGUAAAUAAAGUAACUUGUUACUAAGAUUAAAGCAUUUUCCAAGCAUAAUUCAAUAGGUUCCCACCUACCAAAUCAAACUCUCUUGAUUGCUAUAAAUAACUGCUCUGCUUUCAUCAAGGGGCCUCUUAGAACUGGUGCAGUGGCCAAAAGGCCCUUCAUGGCCUACAGAAGAAGAAGCAUAGCCUCAUCUAUUGCAGAUGUCUUUACUAUAAGUCCUCUGCCAUACCCAGUUCUCCUUAUUCUAGCAGUGAUCUUAAUCUUCUUUUCUAUAUCAUGGUAUGUCUCUUAUGACUCAAUUAUAGAAGCUGCAGAAGUGCAGAUGAGUUGGGCGCUAUUAGCCAUUCCUAUACUACUUCUAAUGGCAGUCCACUUGGUGUCAUCCAUGGAAAAUUCUGACCUCUUCUCUGCUUCCUCGCCCUAUGGUUAUCGCCGCCGCAGCUACCAUAGUCCUCAGGAAGGCAGCUCUCCAUGGGGCGUGGCUGCUUUAAUUGUGUUGUUGCUUAUUAUGGUGCAAUACCAGUCUGUGUUCCAUGAUAGCUGGCUUGUUUAGUAUGUUAAUUGUUACUGAGUAUGAUGUGUUUAGGUUGAAAUAUGUGAUUUGAAUAACUGGGUUUUGUGUAUAAUAUGACUAUAGUGAGUUAAAUUAUCUGUUUUUAGGGUUUGGAUUCUUGGCUUAUGAAUCUGGUCUAAUUGCAGACGUUUGAUGCUUUUGAUUACUUCUAUGGUUAUUUUGCUUCUUUUAUUUCCAUGGAAUCGAUCUUUCUUCCAAAAGAGAAGCUAUCAAACACUUUAUUAAGUUUGAAGCUAUCUAAAUCAUUCAUGAGUCAACUGAUCUGUAAUUUUUCCUGGAAAAAAUGACAGAAAAUUUUCAACUCUUUGCAUUUUCGAAGUUUGAUGAGACAGCUCUCAUGUGAUGUAGUUGAGUAAAGGCUUUUAAUUAGGGUUUUUUUUGUAGGAAUUCACACGCAUGAAUGAAAGCCAUUUCUCAACACAUUUGAGGUAUAUUUGAAUGUCAGAAGCUAUAAGACAGGGGGAAAGGAAUUACUGAAAAACCAUCACUUUCAGUUGUUUGGUUGAUGAGAAAUAGGAAUGUGACCAAGACAAAAAAAUAAUCGAAGUUCAAAGAGUGGAAGAAUUGAAUUCAAAAUAGUGUUUUUUUCUAUUUUAUUUUCUCUUCCUUCUUCGUCUCUGCUUUAACAUUCCUCAGAACCAAACACACUCCCAGAAAAUCUGUUAAGGGUUGCUGAAAUAAGUGGAUAUUGUAGGUCAUUCCCCCAAUUCAAUAAAAUAACAAAAAGCAUCCCAAUAAUUUGAGGCAUGCAAUGAUUAAUCUACCCAAAGGGUUCAAGGUUUUCAGCAACAAAAUAGCUUAGAUUUAAUCCAAAACCCAAAGUAUCAUGAUGGGUAAUAAUAAAUAAACCAAAAGAGUCCACACGCCGAUCAAACGCAAUCACACAAUGGCCACCCUCACUUGGCUGAGUCCCUUGGAUGGGUUUCUGAAGAGAGAGAGAGAGAGAGAGAGAGAGAGAGAGAGAGACCCUCAAGAGUCAUGGCCCAAGAGUAAUUUAGACCUGAAGACUUUUUCUCCCCUCAAGAGUCAUGGCCCAAGAGUAAUUUAGACCUGACAACACCAGGUAGCUAAUAAUCAAACCUACCCCUCCCAAAACUUUAAUGAUACAGUGUUUGGUAUAAGAUAACCUGCUGCUUGCCCAUGCAAUAUAGGCUACAACAUUCAUUUAAAAAAAAUCACAAAAUAAAAACCCUUUAAUUUUCAUAAGUUGAAAUACUUGAAUGUAGUAUCAAUAUCAUAAAAAGAUAAUAGUCAAAUAUCGUAAUUUUUAUCGAAAAAUAUAUAAAAUUCUAAAUAUUUUUAAAUUUACAUGUCAAAUUUGAAUUUUACAAAUUUGAGUUUCUAUUUUAUAAUUUUUCAAUAUGUGUAUAUGAAAACAUAUAUUUUUUUUUAAUCCUCUAUAACGAUCUCGAUUUUAAAUUUUAUUAUAAGAUAAGAAAUAUGUUAAAAGAAGAAGAAGAAGAUGGAUUAGUCACUUUUAUGUAUGUCUUGUUGAAGAGAAAACAAGAAAUAUACAAAACCCAUCACUUGAACUUUGUGCCACCAUGCUACAAAUCAUACCACACAGGACUUAAAUAUGAAUCAUAUUACAAAACCCAAAAGAGAAACUCAAUAGAUACCAUAAUCAAACCCAAAUUAUGUACAUUCACUUGCCUUACAAUGACAAGUAAGGCAUCCUUAUUGUCAUAUGUAGAAAGUACCGGAGUUUCUUUUGUUAAACAGAACUCCUGAGAGCUCCAAACCACUUUGAUUGAAAUACAGAUUGGUAAGAGACCAAGACAAGAAGCACCCCCACCAGGACAGCAACACCCCAAGGAAAGCUCCCAGCUCUGUGAUUGGACUCAUGAUGUGGAUUUGGAGCCUGGAAACUAGGCCUCCCAUCAGAGGAGGAGGCAAUGAGGAAGAUGAAGAGGAUGGGCAACAAGAAGAGGAAUAGCUGGAAGUUGUUGGUAGUUUGGUAUAGUUGGCCCUUGUAGCUUGUGUAAUUGGAGAGGGACCACAAGAGAAUGACAAUGGCAAAAAUGGCUAGCAAUGGAAGAGGUGGUGUGGAGAUGUUGUUGAGGGUCUGGCCUGUCCACCCAUGUUUCCACUCUGGUCCCCUUCUUUUGUGGAAAAACCACUCCAUUGGAUUCUCAAUCUGUAGCUACCUUGGUUUAUCUGCAAGAAGUAAAUGGGUUUAUGUAAGUAACGAUGGAGUGGGUUUGCUUUGAUAUGGGGUUUGGUCUUGGCAUAAAUGCUUUGAGUGUAGAAUCUAUUUGGAAGUCUUCUUUCUUUUGAAGUUAUUCUCAUCCAGUUCGAGCCGUAUUUACCAAAUUUACAAUUACAGAUUGGAGCCAGAAAUUUUCUCUAGAGGGGUACAACAAUAAUAAUAAUAAUUAGGCUCAGACAGUCACUGAUCUAACUAGGUCUUGAUCAGGCAUGGAUUCACAUCCUUUACAAUCAUAUAUGAAAGAAAACACAUACCAUUUGACUUCAUUAUCUAAAAUCAAUCUUCUUGUGCUGCUGCAUAUAACCCCAAGAAUCAUUGGCGGUAUAAGUGCCAUAUAUCCUUGCCUUCUUCCGUCUUGCUGAAAUGGAGAUGAAAAUCAAGCACAACCUAAUAGAUCAAGAGAGGAAAAAGCAAGAGCAUCCUUACAGUUUUGAUGUUUAUAGAAGGUCAGGGGGUAGGGCUAUAGUUGAUUUUGUUUGGAUAGAAUUUUAUGAAAGGGCUGCUUUCUAGUUUUAUUAGUAAAUACAAAUUUAUGCGGUACAAGAUAUGAAUAGAAUAAAUGAAUCUCAAAUAAUAUAGCAUGAGUGAUCAUUUUACGAAAAUGAGCAAUGAAAAAAACGAAGUGUUAGAGAGGAACCAUGUUCUAAGGCCCUUUUCUUAAGAACUCUCUGCUUAGAGUAAUCCUUAAUAGAUGAGUAAUCAAAAAUGAAAUUUGAGAACAAAAGUUUUAGGUACCUUCUUAUAUCUUGCCAUUCAGAAGAACAGGGUAAAGAAGAAAUCCAGCGAUGAGAAUGUGGAGAUAUAUCAAUGACAUCUAUCCUCUUCAGAUGUAAGAGCUCACCAAGUCCAUAGAUGUCCAAGACACUUCUAAAAAUCUGUAACUGAGUAAGGUUUGACAUGCCACCCUUCUCUAUAAUCAACAACUUCGUCGGUCCGUAUAAGUCAGAAAGUUGAAGGAUUUUGAGUUGAGGAAAGCCAUCUGCAGAUACUUGCAUUUCCCAUCCACGGUAUGACCACAUUCUUAAUCUUAAAGUCAACAAUUUUGGCAGCUUCUCCAAAAUCACCAUUGGGUCAUAGUCUAGCUCAGUAUCUUCUAAGGUCAGCUGUGUUAGAUUUGGUGGGAACUCGUGUAAUUGCCCUAUGGAUCUUUCCAUAUGCAGCUUAGAUAGAUGUAGCAAAGAGCUCAUGUCAAAGGAUGGAACCCCGGAGAAAUGUGAUGCCUUAAGAUACAAGGAGCGAAGAUUCUCAAGCUUAGCAAUGGAGUUUGAAAACUCGACCACUAUCGCGUCAUCCAUUUUUAUUUUCAGUUUCCGAAGGCUAGUUAAGUCACUUGUGUCAUUUUGUUGCCAAUCACUAAACCAUAUUCCGGACAGAGUUUGGAGAUUUCUUAGAUUGUCAAUCCGUAAUGGCUUGUCAUCUUCUCUAUCAUACGAGAGGAAAAGGUGUCGUAGAUUUUUCAUUUUCUCUAUCAUAGUUGGUGUUCCUUUAGAAAUACAUAUAUCCAAAGUCUGUAAACUCCUUAGCUCAUCUAAGGAGGUUGGAAAGUUUACACAGUCCUGCAAACUCCCCAAACAAGAAGGUGGACAGUUUGAAUACCUAUGCGCUGUUAAUCUCAAGUACCUUAAAUGAACUAGUUUCCCAAAUGAAUUUGGUGGCUCAUAGAUCUUUACAUUUCCCAAGUCUAACACUCUAAGUAAUUUGUAAUAUUUGUAAAUAAAAUCUAACCAUGAUAGUAUCCCAUAAUAUCGACUAUGGGGACUACGUUGGAGUAAAAAAAAGAAGAGAGACCGAAUAUAUGGGGUUGAAUGUUCUCUGGAAGCAUACCUCUCCAAGUCCAAAUAAAUACCUAGUCGACGGGAUUUGGUGAAAGGAAAAGAUGAAGUAGUUGAGGGAAGAGAAACUAUGUCCUUUUGAAUCUCAACAAAGUUUUGCUCCUUGGCUUUUUUUAUGCAUAAAUCCCGUACUAGAUCAUGAAUCCGGCAUUCUGUAACUCUCUCAUUAACACUCACUGCUACCGCUUGAACCAAGUUUCUAUUGAUUAACUCAUUCAAAUAAUCCUCAGCAGUGUCCUCCAGUCUUUGUUCAUCUUGCUGUGGAACAAAACCCUCAGCCAUCCAUAGAAGCAGUAAUGUUCUCUUGGAGAUUACCUGAUCUUCUGGAAAGAGGCCUAGAUAAAGAAAGCACGAUUUCAAGUUGUGGGGCAGAUCGAUGUAGCUUAAGCUCAAUAUUGCAUCUACUCCAUUGCGUGCGGCAAAGUGCACCCGGAGUUUGUUGAACACUUCUUCCCACAUAGUCGGCAACUGCUUUUUGGAAGACAACAAGCCUCCCAAUACAACAAUAGCCAAUGGUAAACCAGCACAUUUCUUCACCAUUUUUUCCCCAAAUUCCUUCAACUCUGGAGGACAACCGUCAGUAACAUUGUCAGGGAUUGCAGUUCUACAAAACAACUUCCAACCCUCUUCUUCCGAGAGAAGCUGCAUGUCAUGUGGAACACUUCGAGCAUCUGCUUGCAAAGCAACAUCCUUAUUUCGAGUUGUAAGAAGUAAUCUGCUGCCAUUACUCUCCUCUGGGAACACCCUUGCAAGACACUUCCAAUCGUCACUUUUCCAUAUGUCAUCCAAAACUACCAAAAAUCUUUUCUCCUCUAGGUGCUCGUGAAGUAAAUCCUCCAACUCGUUCUCCUGCAAUUUCUCUAUCUGCUUUGGGUUAUGAAGAAGUUGGUUUAGAAUUUGCUGAAAAAUAUUCCUGGGUCUACAAUCUUCAGAUACAUAAACCCAGACACGACAAGACUGAAAAUGAUCCAUAACUCUGCUAUGAUUAUAGACUUUCUUGGCAAGAGUAGUUUUGCCGAUGCCGCCCAUUCCUACUAUAGAAACCACGCGGCGCCUUGGGUCCCCCGUGGUCAGCUGCUCCACUAGCUUAUUUGCUUCUUCAUUCAGGCCCACAAUGACAUGUUUUUCGGCGCGAGGAGUGGUCCGUCUUAGAUUCUGCAGCAUCUGACUUGAAGUACUUGUUCCUACUCCAAUAUUUUUUAUUCCCAGGAUUUCUCGCCUCCUUGAGAUGUCAUGGAGGUUGGUUUGGAUCUCAUCAAUUUUCUUGCCAAGAUUAUGCAGAUACACGGGCUUUUGGAAAAUGCGCUUGACAAAGAUUUUUCUCCUCAGGGCCUCAGCCUUAAGGAUGAACAUGUCGACAACGUCCUCAGCAUCAUAAGCAACAUCUCGGAUGUCCGAAACCCAGUUACGCACUCUUGGGUCUUCCUCUUGCUUCGCAUCUGCUGCUUCUAAGAAGCAGUUGAUCGCCUUCAGAUCUCUAUGCAGCCUCUCAAUUCGUGGGCGCACCUCCUUCAAGAAAAUUGCUUCUUCCAUGAGUUGGUCACCAAUCCUGUUUACGACAAAGGAGAUUACAGCCCUUUCCAUCUUAAUCUUCUCCUUAUUACUCCCCUUAAACAGCUGAACGGAGAUGAUAAUCCUGAAUAGGAGGGGCUAGAAGCAAGAGCUUAUCGUGUUGAUCAUUCAAACACUACAGUUCUUUUGUGAUUUGGUGGAGAGGAAUGUAUUUUACGUCAUGCAUGAGCUGGACUUGAUUUCAAUUGAGCAACUACCCACAAUUGAGAGUAACAUAUCCGCCAAUGGUUUCUAGAUAUCAUUUGGUUGCUUCACUGCAAAAUAAAUUUUUCAUCCAUCAGUCUAUUUUAUCACUUCUUGUUUUCUAAAUUAUUUUUCAAAAUGUGUCAGCUAGUUAAUGUUAGAAAAAAUGUACACCAUGUUCUAUAAUCAACGGUCCCUCACAUUCGUGGUGCUAAAAAAAACAAAAACGUGAUACCUACCGAAUAUGAAAUCUGGAUCAUUGAAUAUAUGUGGUGAGAUCUUGACAAUUGAAUAAGGGUAUAAAGGAAUAAGAUCAAGAUAUAAGAAUAUAAACAAAUGAGAUUAAGGCAUUACAGGACACCGUUUGAUAAAUGAUGAUUUUUUGGUAGGUAUUGAAAAAAUACAUUUCUAUAUUUGACUAAACCCCUUCUUUUAUUCUUGUUAUCGUGUGAUAAAGAAAUGAACUUUCGUGUGAACGCAGAAGAGAUGACUUAAUUUUGAUUAACCACAUCCCAUAUAGGCUUUGGUGUUUACAUGAUGCCUAAAAAGUUGGAGGACUGAAGAUUUCUCCCAAGGCUAGUUAACUAGCUUGAGUUAUUCUGUUUCCACUCAUUCAGCGUGAAAGAGCGUGGAGACGCAAUGGCAUGUCGUCUUCUUGCCCAUCCAAGGAAAGAUGUAUUGAACCCAAAAUAAAUGAAGAUAAAAUAAGAGUAGUAGUUACAAAUUAGAAGUCAGUUUUGAGAAGAAUCUGCCUCGGUUUUCUGAAAUUGGAUAUGCAUGCCUGGAUAAUUAAAUUUAGGCUGAAAAUGUUGGAUGGCCGCAGGUUGAUGCUUGCAUGGCCAUGUCUGUUCUUGAAGCUGGCCUAUCUGAACUACAGUGUGACAUAAUUGGAUUUAGAUCCAUGGGGAGUGGUAUACCUUUAGGUUGUGUUUGGUAGGGGUAUAAGAAUGGGAAUGAAGGGGAAUCAAACAUGUGGAAGAGCGGAAUAAAAAACUAGACAAGGUGAGGUAGGUUUUAAUUCCCAUUAAAAUGAAUUUUCUAUUCCCAUUCUCAUUUGUUAGAAAUAAUCCAAAAACGGUAAUGAAUGAGAACUGGAAUGGAUUUCCCAUUCCUCCUAUUCAAGCAUACAAAGCCCAUUACUCUGAUCACAGUGCCCACAAGCAGGCUACCGCCUAUUGUACAGAGUCAUCAAGCAAAAUAAGCAGAAUUCAACAAACCCCAAUAGAGAUCAAGACAGCAACACCCGGUGAAGAAGAUGAACAGAAUGGGGAACUAUGGGAAGUGGGAACAGUUCUUUCAGCUGGUUUUAUAAUAGGGGGGAUCGAACCAAAUGACAGCAAUUGGAGUGUGCAACAAAAGAAAAGUUGAGGAAACAGAGGAAUCCAAAGAAGAGUGUGAAGGAAUCCUGAAGCUUUGUUUGAUGGCCCUGAAGAAGAGACAGAUAUUGUGCUGCUAGGACAAGACAAAAACAUAGAAAUUAAUAGGAUAACCUUCAUUAUUUAUGGCUAAAUCAACAUGGUAUUCAGAAAGAAGGAGACUAUUCCAAUUUACAUAAAUUACAAAUGGAGGACUUGAAGAUAUGCUUGCAGGUGAAACAAAAGUGACAAGCUCAAACAGUCACCAGCCUGACUAGGUCUUGACCAAGCACGGAUUCGCAUCCUUUACAAUCAUAUGUAAAAGAAAAACACCAUUUAUAACUUCAUUACCUGAAACCAGUCUUCUUGUGUUGCUGCUUAUAACCCCAGCAAUCAUCAGCAGUAUAAGUGCCAUAUACUGUCACCAUUUCCUGUCUUGCUGAAAUGGAGAUGAAAAUCAAGCACAGCACAGCCUAUUAGAUAAGGGAAAAAAAAGGAAAAAGAAGAUGAGGGAGUAAGGCUAUAGUUGAUUUUGUUUGGAUAGUCUCAUUUGGGAAAAUGAUGCCCUCUAGUUUUAUUAAUAGAAAAUGAAAAAUUAUGGAGUACAAGAGUUUAACAUCGAUUUCAUUUCAAGUGCAUUAUGAAUAGAAUAAAUGAAUAUUGAAUAAUAUAGCAAGAGUGAUCAUAUCAGUCAUAUGUACGUGGAGAAAGAACAAUGAAAAAAUGGUGUUAAACAAUGCUCUGUGGCCCAUUUUUAAGAACUCUGCCUGGAGUAAUACUAGAUGUAUGAGUGAUAAAAUAUGAGAUUAAGCACAAAAGAGCCAAGUACCUUCUUACAUCACGCCAGUCGGACGAACAGGGCAAGGAGGAAAUUCAAGGAUGAUGAUCUAGAGAUGUAGUAAUGACAUCUACCUUCUGCAGAAGUAAGAGCUUGCUAAGUCCAUUGAUGUCCAAGACGCUUUCAAAAACCUGCAACUGAGUAAGCUUUGACAUGCCACCCUUUUCUAUAUUCAACCUCCUCGUGCGGUUUAACCCAAAAAGUUGAAUUACUUUGAGUCUAGGAAAGCCAUGUGCAGAUACUUGCAUUUCCUCUCCAAGAUAUGAGUCCUUCCUUAAUCUUAGAGUCAACAAUUUUUGCAGCUUCUCCAAAAUUGCCAUAGGGUCAUAGUCCAACUCAGUCUCUUCUAAGGUUAAUUGUGUUAGACUUGGUGGGAACUGACGUGCAUUAGGUAACUGUGGUAUGCGUCCCUUUAUUUGCAGCUUAGAUAGAUGUAGCCAAGAGUUCAUGACAAAGGAUGGCAUGCCGGGGGGAUAUGCCUCAAGAUACAAGGAUCGAAGAUUCUCCAGUUUGGCAAUGGAGUUUGAGAACUCAACCAUUUCCAAGUCAAAUUUCCCUUGAAUUUUCAGUUUCCCAAGGCUAGUUAACUUACUUGUAUCAUUUUGUUGCCAAUCACUGACCCAUAUGUUAGACAGAGUUUGGAGAAGUGUCAAUUAGCAAUGGCUUGCCAUCUUGACUAUGAUAGAAGAGGAAGAGAUGUCGUAGAUUUUUCAUUUUUUGUAUCACAGUUGGCUUUUCCAAUAUAACAAUACCAAUAUCCAAAGUUUGCCACCUCCUUAAAUUACCUAAAGAGGUUGGAAGCUUUGAAAAGAACGAAUUACUCUCACGGAAUGUGAAUGGAAGCUUUAUACUCAAGUACGUUAAAUGAAUUAGUCUCCCAACUGAACUUGAUAGUCUAUUGCGAAACUCUAUACCUUCCAAGUUUAACACUAUGCAAUUUAAAAUGCCUAUAACGGAAAUGAGGUGGGAGAAAUAAUAUCAAAUUGUCAGUUUUUGGGUCGAAAGAGUGAAGGGUGCGAAGAUAUGUAGUUGAAACAUACCCCCCGAGCCAAAAUGGAUACCUUGUCGACGACAUUUGGUUGAAGGGUGAGAUGAACAAGAUGAGGGAACAUGAACUAUGUUAUUUUGAAUCUCAAACAGCUUUUGCUUUUUUGCCUUCUUUAUGCAUAAAUCCCUUACUAGAUCAUGAACCCGACAUUUUUUACUUCUCUCAUUAAUACUCACUGCUACUACUUGAAUCAAAUUUCUAUUGAUUAACUCAUUCAAAUAAUCCUCAGCAGUGUCCUCCAUUCUUUGUUCAUCUUGUUGUGGAAUAAAACCCUCUGUAAUCCAUAAAAGGAGUAAUUCUCUCUUGGGGAUGACCCAAUCUUCUGGAAAGAGGCCUAGAUAAAGAAAGCAUGAUUUCAAGUUGUGGGGCAAAUCGAUGAAACUUAAGCUCAAUAUUGCAUCUACACCAUUGCCUUCAGAGAAGGGCACCUGGAGCUUGUUGAGCACCUGUUCCCACACAGUCGGCAACUGCUUUUUGGAUGAUAACAAGCCUCCCAAUACAACAAUGGCCAAUGGCAAACCAGCACAUUUCUUCACCAUCUUCUCCCCAAAUACCUUUAACUCUGGAGGACAAUUGUCAAUAACAUUAUUGGGGAUUGCAGUUCUACAAAACAGCUUCCAACUCUCUGCUUCAGAGAGAAGUUGCAUUUCCAAGGGGACACUCUGAAUAUCUGCUUGCAAAGCAACAUCCCUAUUUCGAGUUGUAAGAAGUAAUCUACUGCCAUUGUUCUUCUUUGGAAACACAUUUUCAAGACAUUUCCAAUCUUCACUGUUCCAUAUGUCAUUCCGUGUAAAAAAAAAAAAAAAAUCAAAAUCCCCAAUCUUUAAAAACCCCUCUUCCAUUCUCAAUUGAGCCCUAAUUUCAAAAUCUUUCAAAAAGGGUCUUCAUCUUCUUCUUCUUCUCUUCUUCAUUGCAUAAGCUUCCACCACCAAGGUUGCUGAAAUUUAUUUAUGAUGAAGUCCUCCUCCCUCAUCAUUCUUUUCAACAUUGGAAAUCUCUACAUCAAUGUUUCAUUGGCGCCAUUUCUUUUCCGGAGUGGCUCAUUCACAGGUUUCUUAGCUUAAGCUAUCUUUUUCGGGAACCUUAGGUGUUCGGUUUGUCCAUCUUUCUCUCCACCAUUAGCUUAAUCUAGAUGCUUUCUUUGUGUGGAAUCCUUUCACAACAUAUUUUUUUGGGGUUUCAUUUUUGCCUUGGAUUGUUUUUGCUUUCUAGCAAUGUUAAUCCUAGGCUUUGUUUGCUCAUUGUGAGUGCCCUCUAUACAUUUUCAUGCUUGGAAUCUAUUUUCAUGGUGAUAAAGCAUUUUUUGAAAGUUUUUAAAUGAAACCAUGUGAUGAGAUUUAGGAGGAGUUUCGUAUAUCUUAUGAUGGGAGUUAGGGGGAGAUUCUUGUAUCCUAUAGUUUUUUUGGGAUGUUGAUAUGGAUACUUGGUAAUAUGUGAAUACUUGAUUUUUGAGUAUUUGACAUUUUGUUGAAAUGUGGAUGUUUGUUGAUUUGGAUGUGAGAUAUUCUGCUAAUUGAAUUGUCAUCCAUUUGUCUUUUUUCUUGGAUAGAAAGGGAGAGAUUGUGGCCCUUUGUCUCUUUCUGGGACAAAAAGGGGGAGAGACAUUGUAGUUAUUAUUUUGGUGAUUGGAUAUAUGUGGAUAUCUAUGUGUUAAUUCAUUCAAAUCUUGUGGAAGUGCCUUGGAAUAUGUACAGGUGCUACUAAUGUUUUUCUUGAGAUUUUUUUUGCAGGUAUUGUAGUACCUAGGUUGUGGUUUUGAGUGAGCGAGUGGCCUUGUAUGAGUGUUGGGUGGGGUUUACUUACUUAUACUCAUUCGUGUUGUAAAGGGUUUUGUCCCAGAAUUGCUAAAGGGGGAGAUUGUGAGUGUUUAGCUAGGUUGGCAAUUCCGGACAAAAUUCCUAAGUGUCCCCUAACUCGGCUUUCCUAUUCCUAUUCGGACUACUUGACUUUGAAGACUAAGACUUUGCUAAGAGGCCGAGGUAUGUAGUCGAGUGUAGAGUGAUUGGGUGUGAAUCAACCCGGUUUUUAAUCUUUAAAUGUGUUAGAAAGUUGGGAAAAAUGAUUUUUGGUGCAAGGCUUUCAUUCCUCUGUUUCUGGAUCGAUCCAAGUGUAGGGGUGGAUCUAUCGAACUAAUGUUUUUUUGAUCAAAUCUCGGCCAUUAGAUUAAGGGUUUCUUUUUACACUAUAAAAACCAAUCUUCUCUCAUUUUCUGGAAGAGAGACUGCUGAAAAUGUGGGGAGAGCAGCCACACUCCAAGUGUUCUUCAUUUUCUCAUUUUUGCUUUCCUAAUUUGGGGUUUUUGAUUGCAAAGAAAAUCCACUUCUCUUAAUGUUUUCCAAACUAGUUUUCAAUGGAUUUUCUUGAGCAAUAAAUGGGUUGAUUCAUUACUUCAUUCACAUCUCAAUCUUUCAUUCUAUUUGGGUUUGUGCAAAAACCCAUUUUCUUCUUGUGUGGAUUCAAGAAGAGGCCGAGAUUGAACUUGGUGCGGACUCCAAGUGUGCUUCAAAAGGAGAAGCUGAAAAUGAAGGUACUAGUCAAGUAUUCUGGGAAGGAUUGGUUGGCUUGAGCUAGGUAAAACCUUGUACUCAGUUUUUAUUCCUCAUAAUGGAGUUUUCAAUCGGUGAUAGGUCCGUGGUUUUUGAUCUCUUCGGAGGUUUUCCACGUUAAAAAUCCGGUGUUCAUUGUCUCUUUCUCUCACUCUAUAUUUUGAUUUAUUUUUGAGGAGUGUUGAAGUAUUUGCAUGUGUUUUGCAUUUAUAAAUUGUUGGGAGAGUGUUGAUGCAUACAUUAUUGCUUGCGGAUGUUUUGCUUUGUUGAAAAGUUAUUGGAAGAAAAAAUUCUUGACAUUAAGAUAGUCUAAGGUUAGGUAAUCUUUGUUGGGAGAAUUUUUAAAUUGUUUUACAACACCUAUUCACCCCCCUCUGGGUGUGGUUCAUUAUUGAGAUUCACAUUUUCAUCUUCAUUUGGUCUAAGCUAGCAAGUUGAAGGAUUUUGAGUUGAGGAAAGCCAUUUGCAGAUACUUGCAGUACUCCUUGUCUGAGUUUUGAGAUCAUCCUCAAUCUUAAAAUCAACAAUUUUGGCAGCUUCUCCAAAAUCGCCAUAGGGUCAUAGUCCAGUAUAAUCCUAUCUAAGGUCAACUGUGUUAGAUUUGGUGAGAAUUCAUGUGCUCUAGGCAAUUGCUUUAUGUUUCCCUUCAUGUGCAGCUUAGAUAGAUGGAGCCAAGAGUUCAUGACAAAAGAUGGAAUGCUACGGGGAUCUGAAUCCAAAAAACUGUAGUGACUUGAUAAUGAGUGAUAAAGACUGAAGGUAUAUGAUGAUGUCUCAAGCUGCGGGAAGGGAUCUAAUAGAUCUGAUAUGUCACGAUCAUCACGUUCAUAUUGAUUAAGAUACAAUGAGCGAAGAUUCACAUGCUUGGCAAUAGAGUUUGAGAACUGGGACACUUCCAAGUCAAAUCCCACGUUGAUUUUCAAUUUAUGAAGGUUAGGUAACUUACUCGUAUCAUUUUGUUGCCAAUCACUAAACCAUAUGCCGGAUAGAGUUUGGAGAUUUCUUAGAUUGUCAAUUCGUAAUGGCUUGCCAUCUUGUCUUUCAUACGAGAUGAAAAGGUGUUGAAGAUUUUCCAUGUUCUGCAUCAUAGUUGAUACCUUCCUAAAAUUAUUUAUAUCCAAUGUCUGCAAACUCCUUAAAUUACCUCAAUAUGUUGGAGAAUAAGUUCUAAGCAGGAAAUUUACUCUCAAAUACCUCAAAUGAAUCAGUUUCCCAAAUGCUCUCGGUAUUUCAACGAAUAAACCUUCCAAGUCUAGCACCCUAAGCAGUUUGAAAUAUUUGCAAAUAAAAUCUAAUUGUUGUAGACGGCACCAAUGACCUUUUAAUGUGAAGAAGAAGAGAGAGCAAAUGUAUGGAGUUGAAUGUUUUGUGGAAGCAUACCUCUCCAAGUCAAAAUAAAUACCCUGUCGAUGGGAUUUGGUUGAAGGAAAAGAUGAACUCACGCUCUUUUUUAUCUCAAAAAGGGUCUGCUCUUUCGCCCUUUUGAUGCAUAAAUCCCGUACUAGAUCAUGAAUUUGGCAUUUUGUUGCUCUCUCAUUAACACUCACUGUUACUACUUGAACCAAGUUUCUACUGAUUAACUCAUUCAAAUAAUCCUCAGCGGUGUCCUCCAUUCUUCGUUCAUCUUUCUGUGGGAUAAAACCCUCUGCCAUCCAUAGGAGGAGCAAUUUUCUUGUGGGGAUUAUCUGAUCUUCUGGGAAGAGGCCUAGAUAAAGAAAGCAUGAUCUCAAGUUGUGGGGCAAGUCAAUGUAGCUUAAACUCAAUACUGCAUCUACUCCUUUGUCACUGGAGAAGUGCGCCUGUAGGUUCUUGAGCACCUUUUCCCACUCAGUAGGCAAUUGCUUUUUGGAUGAUAACAAGCCUCCCAAUACAACAAUGGCCAAUGGUAAACCAGCACAUUUUUUCACCAUCCUUUCCCCGAAUUCCUUCAACUCUGGAGGACAACUCUCAGUAACAUUGUCAGGGAUUGCACUUCUACAAAACAACGUCCAACUUUCCGUGUCCGAGAGGAGUUUCACUUCGUAGGGAACGCUUUGAGCAUCUGCUAGCAAAGAAACAUCCUUAUUUCUAGUUGUAAGAAGUAAUCUACUGCCAUCACUCUCCUCUGGGAAUGCAUUAGCAAGACAUUUCCAAUCAUCACUUCCCCAUAUGUCAUCCAAAACUACCAAAAACCUUUUCUCCUUCAGGCGUUUAUGAAGGAAAUCCCCCAACUCGUUCUCCUGCAAUUUCUCUAUCUUCCUUGCUUCAUCUCCCGUUGGUGUAUAAGGAAAUUGGUUUAGAAUUUGUUGAAAGAUGUCUCUGGGUCUACAAUCUUGGGAUACAUAAACCAACGCACGACAAGACUGAAAAUGAUCCACAACUCUGCUAUGAUUAUAGAUUUUCUUGGCAAGAGUAGUUUUGCCGAUGCCGCCCAUUCCUACAAUAGAAAUCACACGGCGCCUUGGGUCUCCUUUGGUCAGCUGCUUCACAAGCUCUUUGGCUUCUUCAUUCAGGCCUACAAUGACAUGUUUUUCUGCACGAGGAGUGGUCCGUCUUAGAUUCUGCAGCAUCUGAGUUGAAGUGCUUGUUCCUUCACCAAUAUUUUUUAUUCCCAGGAUUUCCCGCCUCUUUGAGAUGUCUUGGAGGUUAGUUUGGACGUCAUCGAUUUUCUUGCCAAGGUUAUGCAGACACCUCGGCUUUUGGAAAACGCGCUUGACAAAGAUUUUUCUCCUCAGGGCCUCAGCCUUGAGGAUGAACAUGUCGACCACGUCUUCAGCAUCAUAAGCAACAUCUCGGAUGUCUGAAACCCAGUUACGCACCCUUGGGUCUUCCUCUUGCUUUGCAUCGGCUGCUUCCAAGAAGCAGUUGAUCGCCCUCAGAUCUCUAUGCAGCCUCUCAAUUCGUGGGCGCACAUCCUUCAAGAAAACUGCUUCUUCAAUGAGUUGGUCACCAAUCCUGUUUACGACAAAGGAGAUUACAGCCCUUUCCAUCUUAAUCUUCUCCUUAUUACUCCCCUUAAACAGUCGAACGGAGAUGAUAAAUCUUUAGCAGGAAUGCCAAGAAGCAAGACCUUAUCAUGUCGAUCAAGGUAUCUUCAUUGACCAAACCAUUGCAUUAUUGUGUUUUUGUUUUUUUGGUGGAAAGGACUGAGAAGAGUAUUUUAUGUAAAUGCCAGAAAUGCAUGAGCUGGACUUGAUUUUGAUCGACCAACGACCCAUCAUAUGAAGGCAAUAUUUAAUUCAGAAGUUGAAAUUCAGCUAGCAAUCAAAGAAGUCUCUCACCUUCUAUUCAUAAUUUAAAAUUUGUUCAUCCAUUAGUCUAUUUUAUCCCUUUUGGUUUUAUUUUUUAUUCUCUUUCAAAUGUGUUAGGUGUCGAAAAAAUGUACAGAAAGUUUUAUAAUUAAUGGCCUCUCACAUUCGUGGUGGUAAAAAUCAAAACAAUUUUGUGAAAGUUGUAGGUUUGCUUUGAUCCAGACUUCUCAUUAAUUAGACCAAGUCAAGCAAACACUGAAUGGAAUAUGAAAUUUGAAUAAUCUUGGCUUCUGCAAUUUGAAUGAACAACAGGGGAAGCCAAAACGGUGCAUCAUUUUGGCAGUGCCCACAUGCAUGCUUCCACCUUGCUGUACAGACUUGUCAAGCGGUAUAAGCAGACAGAUAAUUUUGAUUCAACAAUGUACCCAAUGGAUACCAAGACAGCAACAAUUCCAAUGAAGAAGAUGAAUAGAGUGGGGCACUACGGGCACGUUUGAUCAACUGGGGUUGAAAUAUAGGGAACUAAGUGAGAGAAAUUGGCAUGUGCAGCAUGAGAAAAGUGGAGGAAACAGAGGAAUCCAUAGAAGAGGAUGGAGGAAUCCUGAAACUUUGUUUGAUGCCUCUAAAGAAGAAACAGAUAUUGUGUUGCUAGGUGAAGAUAGAAACAUAGAAAUUAAUCAGAUGCCCUUAAUUAUGUAGAUGAAAAUCAGCAUGGAAUCUGGAAGUAAAUGGAUGUAAAUCACAGGGAUGGAUCCAAAUCACAGAAAAAUACAAGAACAAUAAACAAAUUAUACACUGAGACCUGUUGAAAAAACUAUUAUGAUUGAGUUGAUAACAAUCUGCAUCCUAUGCAUACAAUCUCAGUCUCUAAUACUUACUCAUUAAAGUUCUGACAGUCACUGACCUAAAAGGUCUUGAUCAGGCAUGGAUUUUACAAUCACAUACAAAAGAAAACCCAAUUUGUAUAUUCAUUAUCUAAUGACAAUCUUCUUGUACUGCGGCUUAUAACCCGGACAAUCAUCAAUGGUAAUAGUGUCAUAUCUUGAGACCUAAUUUCCUGAGAUGGAUAUGAAAAUCAAGAACAACAUCUUAGCCCAAGAAAAAAAAUUGAGCAGAUGCUUACAGUUUUGAUGUGUACAGAGUGGGUCAGGAGUAGGGUUAUAAUUUGGAAAUAGAAAUGUAUUAGUCACAUUUACCUUUUGUAGAUGUGAGAGCUCAUUAAGCUUAACGAUUUCCACGAAACUUGCAAAAAUCUGCAAUUAAGCUUUGACAUGCCACCUUUCUGUAUAUUCAUCCUCUUCCAUACUGUUAAGUUAGAAGGAUAGAGAAUUUUUAGUUGAGAAAAGCCAUUUGCAGAUACUUGCUUUUCCAUCUCCAUGGUAUGAGUCCUUAAUCUGAGAGCUAGUCAACGAUUUUGGCAGCUUCUACAAAAUUGUCAUAGAGCACUCGUUGUAAGAGACCAUUCAUUUUUAUGCAUGUCCUGUCGUACACAAAACAAGAAAUGUACAAGAGCCACCAUUUUAAUUUGUGCCACCAUGCUGCCCAUUCAUGCCACACAGACAUAUGAAUCAUAAUACAAAACCCCAAAAACAAGAAACUCGAUCGAUACAAUAAUCAAAGCAAAAAUAUGCACAUUCUCUUGCCUUAGAAUGACGAGUAAGACAUCCUUAUAUUCAUAUAUAGAAAUUAUCAGAGUUUCUUUAACAAAGAAGAGCUCCAAACCACUUUGAUUGAAAUGCAGAUUGGUAAGAGACCAACACAAGAAGCACACCCCUCAUUAGGAUAGUAACACCCCAAGGAAAGCUCCCAGCUCUGUGAUUGGACUCAUGCUGUGGAUGUGGAAGCUGAAAACUAAGCCCCUCGUUGGUGGAGAAGGAAGCCAUGAAGAAGAUGAAGACCAAUUCAUUGUAGCUUGGUGUAACUGGGCCUUGUAGCUUGUGUAAAACCAAUUCAUUGGUUUCUCAAUCCCUGAUCCCCUUCUCUUGUGGAAAAACCACUCUAUUGUUUUUUCAGUCUCUACCUUAGUUCAUCUGCAAGAAGUAAAUAGGCUUAUUACGCAUGAAUUGAAAUUUCGAAUUUUACGGAUAUAUCGGUACUUCGAUUUUAUGGAUAUAUCGGAAAUAUCGGUGAAUAUUUUUUCACAAAUAUUAGUAAAACAAAAAUUAUUUAAAAUUCAUAUGAAUGUUUGGAAAAACUAAAAAAAAAUGAUAAAAUAAGUAAAAAUACAUAUUUUAAAGUUAUCUUGUAAAUAUAAUUGACAUAUAUAUAAUCAAGAAGAAAAACAUCGUAAACAG